UUUUUUUUUUUUUUUUUUCUGAGACGAAGUCUCGCUCUGUCGCCCAGGCUGGAGUGCAGUGGCCGGAUCUCAGCUCACUGCAAGCUCCGCCUCCCGGGUUUACGUCAUUCUCCUGCCUCAGCCUCCCGAGUAGCUGGGAUUACAGGCCCCGCCACCUCGCCCGGCUAGUUUUUUGUAUUUUUUAGUAGAGACGGGGUUUCACUGUGUUAGCCAGGAUGGUCUCGAUCUCCUGACCUCAUGAUCUGCCCAUCUCGGCCUCCCAAAGUGCUGGGAUUACAGGCUUGAGCCACCGCGCCCAGCCGACAAUACCUUCUUAUGGCUACCUCCGGAAGGACUUGCCCGAGGCUGUUUUACAGUUAACGUUUGUUUUAAUAAGUAGGAGUAUUCACUAAAAUAACAGUUAAAAGUAUAGUGUAGUAAAUACAUAAGUCAGUAACACAGUCCUUUAUUAUCAACUAUUGUGUACUGUAUGGAACUGUCUGUGCUAGACUUUGAUUAGACUGUUAGCGCAGUGGGUUUGUUUAUAACAGCACCACACACACGUAAGUAAUGUGUGCCACUGCACCAUUACGACGGCAAGAAGAUAGCGAGGUCUCGGUUCCAUGUUAGUUUUAUAGGACUACCAUCGUACAUGUGCUCUGUCGCUGAUCAGACCCUUGUUCUUUUUUUGUUUGUUUGUUUGUUUGUUUGUUUGAGACAGAGUCUCACUCUGUCGCCCAGGCUGGAGUGCAGUGGUGCGAUCUUGGCUCACUGCAAGCUCCGCCUCCCGGGUUCACGCCAUUCUCCUGCCUCAGCCUCCCGAGUAGCUGGGACUACAGGCGCCACGCCCACCACCACACCUGGCUAAUUUUUGUAUUUUUAGUAGAGACAGGGUUUCACUGAGUUAGCCAGGAUGGUCUCCAUCUCCUGACCUUGUGAUCCACCCGCCUCGGCCUCCCAAAGUGCUGGGAUUACAGGUGUGACAGACCCUUGUUAUGCAGUGCCUAACUGUACGAUCCACCCCACGUGGUCCUUGGGAGAUGGCAGGAGGUGGCCUGUGUAAGGCACAGAGCUGCACACUGCAGCACUCAUAAGCAUUAGGCUUCCUCACCACCAUUACGUGCCAGGUAGUGGCUGACCCUGCCAGACCAGGGACCUCCCAGCUCAGUGCUGCCUCCUCUAUACGGAGUCUUGUCCCAAGGAGGCAGUGCUCCCCAAAUGAAGGAAUGCUGGAAAGGAGUGGAUACCCUUCCCACAUUAUCCCUUCGAAGGGCCUCCUGGCUUCCGCUUUAUGGUAUCCUCAUGCAGGCUGGGUUAUUAUGGCUCACACAGGACUGGUCACCACCCCAGCUGCCAUAAAGGAAAGGGUCGAGCUUGAAAAUGCAGUCUGCCUCACCCCACUUCCAGAUAGAUGGGGGCCAAGCGCUUUCAGAUAUACAGCAAUCUGGGUGUCCACAGCUCUGUCUCCACACUCCUUUCCCCUGAGGCCAAAGUCUACCCAGGGCCAGACCCGCUAAGGAGUGGCCGGCUGCGUGGGCCAACCCUCUGGAACCUCGCAGCCCCCACAGGCGAGGAGCGUGAGUGCUCAUUACGGAGCUU
Molecule: long non-coding RNA, 1578 nt
Organism: Macaca fascicularis (crab-eating macaque)
Lineage: Eukaryota; Metazoa; Chordata; Mammalia; Primates; Cercopithecidae
Source: Ensembl